This 87-nucleotide transfer RNA is filed under the name Amnimonas aquatica. RNAcentral's name for it is "Perlucidibaca sp. HR-E tRNA-Leu". It matches the Rfam family "tRNA". From Rfam's summary of the family: Transfer RNA (tRNA) molecules are approximately 80 nucleotides in length. Their secondary structure includes four short double-helical elements and three loops (D, anti-codon, and T loops). Further hydrogen bonds mediate the characteristic L-shaped molecular structure. tRNAs have two regions of fundamental functional importance: the anti-codon, which is responsible for specific mRNA codon recognition, and the 3' end, to which the tRNAs corresponding amino acid is attached (by aminoacyl-tRNA synthetases). tRNAs cope with the degeneracy of the genetic code in two manners: having more than one tRNA (with a specific anti-codon) for a particular amino acid; and 'wobble' base-pairing, i.e. permitting non-standard base-pairing at the 3rd anti-codon position. Lineage: Bacteria; Pseudomonadati; Pseudomonadota; Gammaproteobacteria; Moraxellales; Moraxellaceae. The record is from RNAcentral.
GCCCGGGUGGUGAAAUUGGUAGACACAGGAGACUUAAAAUCUCCCGACCUCGCGGUCGUACCGGUUCGACCCCGGUCCCGGGCACCA